CUCCCUGGAUGGUUUUGGGGUGCUCUUGGGUGGUUUUGGGGUCUUCUGGGGCUUGCUGCGUGGUUUUGGGGGUCGUUUGGGGUUCCCUGGAUGGUUUUAGGGUGUUCUUGGAUGUUUUUGGGGUCUUUUGGGGUCCCCUUCGUGGUUUUGGGGUCUUUUGGAGAUUCCUGCGUGGUUUUGGGGUCUUUUAGGAUUUCUUGCAUGGUUUUGGGGUCUUUCGGGGCUCCUUGCAUGGUUUUGGGGUGUUCUUGGGUGGUUUUGGGAUCAUUUGGGGUCCUCUUCAGGGUUCUGGGGUCUUUUGGGGCUUCCUGUAUGGUUUUUGGGGUCAUUUGUGACUCCCUGGAUGGCUUUGGGGUGUCCUUGGGUGUUUUGGGGUCGUUUGGACUCCCUGCAUGGUUUUGGGGUCUUUUGGGGCUCCCUGCAUGGUUUUGGGGUGUUUUUUGCGUGGUUUUGGGGUCCCCUUCAUGGUUUUGGGGUCAUUUGGAGCUUCCUGAAUGGUUUCAGGGGGGUCUUGUGGGGUUUCCUGCAGGUUUUUGGGGUGUGGGGGGGGUCCUGAUGGUUUUGGGGUCCCCUGGGGGCUCCUUGGACACUUUUGGGGUGUCCUGGGAUGGUUUUAGGGCAAAACCUGGUGCUUUUGGGGUCUCUUGGAGCUCUCUGGGUGCUUUUGGGGUGCCCCUGCGUGGUUUUGGGGCCAAACCCGGUGUUUUUGGGGUCCCUGUGUCACCCCUGAGUGCUUUUGGGGUCCCCCUAUGGGGUUUUGGGGUUCCCCUGGGGCUCCCUGCAUGGUUUUGGGGCCAAACCCGGUGGUUUUGGGGUCCCUGUAGCAUCCCCGAGUGCUUUUGGGGUCCCCCUGUGUGGUUUUGGGGCCAAACCCGGUGGUUUUGGGGUCCCUGUGGCAUCCCUGAGUGAUUUUGGGGUCCCCCUAUGGGGUUUUGGGGUUCCCCUGGGGCUCCCUGCCUGGUUUUGGGGCCAAACCCGGCGCUUUUGGGGUCCCCCUGCGGGGUUUUGGGGUUCUCUGUAGGAUUUUUAGGGACGCUGCUUUUGGGNNNNNNNNNNNNN
Molecule: long non-coding RNA, 1059 nt
Filed under: Anser brachyrhynchus (Pink-footed goose)
Lineage: Eukaryota; Metazoa; Chordata; Aves; Anseriformes; Anatidae
Description: lncRNA (ENSABRG00000018040.1)
Source: RNAcentral